GCCCUGGUGGUACAGUGUAUUAAAACACUUGGCUGCCAACCAAGAGGUUGGCAGUUCGAACCCACCAGUGCU
This 72-nucleotide transfer RNA is filed under the name Loxodonta africana (African savanna elephant). It matches the Rfam family "tRNA". From Rfam's summary of the family: Transfer RNA (tRNA) molecules are approximately 80 nucleotides in length. Their secondary structure includes four short double-helical elements and three loops (D, anti-codon, and T loops). Lineage: Eukaryota; Metazoa; Chordata; Mammalia; Proboscidea; Elephantidae. The record is from Rfam by way of RNAcentral.